Molecule: unclassified non-coding RNA, 249 nt
Filed under: Hevea brasiliensis (rubber tree)
Lineage: Eukaryota; Viridiplantae; Streptophyta; Magnoliopsida; Malpighiales; Euphorbiaceae
Source: RNAcentral
UUUUCCUUUUCAACAUUAUGUUGACCUUCCAAGUUGGAGGUUUCUGUCUGUGUUUGUAGAUUAUUUGAGGUUAGAGUUGUUGUUCUGGCUAGGGCCUUAAGCUUGGGUUUUCUUGAAAUGGACAGUUGUUUGAGCUUAGGGACUCUAUGGGCUUCUUGUAACUGAUGUUGUGUUUCAGAGAAAGGGUUGGCCAAAGUAAGGUUUGUGAAAGUAGAGCAAGGCUGAAUGGUGUUUAGGUCGAGAACUGGG